Molecule: ribosomal RNA, 292 nt
Filed under: uncultured bacterium
Lineage: Bacteria
Description: partial 16S ribosomal RNA
Rfam family: Bacterial small subunit ribosomal RNA
Source: RNAcentral
GUGUCAGCAGCCGCGGUAAUACGUAGGUGGCAAGCGUUGUCCGGAAUUAUUGGGCGUAAAGCGCGCGCAGGCGGCCUUUUAAGUCUGAUGUGAAAGCCCCCGGCUCAACCGGGGAGGGUCAUUGGAAACUGGAAGGCUUGAGUACAGAAGAGAAGAGUGGAAUUCCAUGUGUAGCGGUGAAAUGCGUAGAGAUGUGGAGGAACACCAGUGGCGAAGGCGACUCUUUGGUCUGUAACUGACGCUGAGGCGCGAAAGCGUGGGGAGCAAACAGGAUUAGAAACCCUCGUAGUCC